Long non-coding RNA from Gossypium raimondii (Peruvian cotton), 270 nucleotides. RefSeq lists it as uncharacterized. The transcript is spliced from 3 exons. NCBI's taxonomy places the organism in Eukaryota, Viridiplantae, Streptophyta, Magnoliopsida, Malvales, Malvaceae. The record is from RefSeq and is a predicted model, not a curated record.
AACAAAUUAAACAUUUAAAACAAAGACAAAAGUGAAAAAUCUAGAGAUCUCUUCACAAUUUAUCAGCAAAAACGCCAUAGGAGGUCUGGAAUAAGCUGGUUUUUCAUAUUUUUGAAUCAUAUCGAGAACCUGAAACAAGUCGAGGAAAAGAAAAAGUAGCCGAUUAGUCCCUGAACUUUUACAAAUUCUGCAAAUCGAUCCAGAUUAACGUAUUUAUACAUUCGGAGGAUCGGAUCUACAUCAAGAAUCACACUACCCAGAUAUACUCCG